GUUGAAAUUUUGUCCACAUGAGGUCGUCCUCCUCUCUGGUUUUGCUGAUUCCGACGGCGCCGGCUAGACCUACAGGAUAUCUGUGGCAUUUGUUCUUAUUAGGGUGUCAAUGCUGGCGAUGAAAAGAUUAUUAAUGCUCUUAUUUGGGUGUCAAUGCUGGAAGCUGCUCAUGAGAAAUGUAACUUGAAGAUACUUACGCCACUUCCGGCAAAUCGUUUUCCGAAACUGAAUCAAGUGAGAUCAAUACUAAGUACAAGAAGAAAAGAAUUCCAUCGGUUUCUACAUCAUUACUACUUUUACUGGGUG
Molecule: long non-coding RNA, 306 nt
Organism: Triticum dicoccoides
Lineage: Eukaryota; Viridiplantae; Streptophyta; Magnoliopsida; Poales; Poaceae
Exons: 3
Source: RefSeq, a predicted model, not a curated record